AUUGAACGCUGGCGGCAGGCCUAACACAUGCAAGUCGAACGAGUGGCGGACGGGUGAGUAAUGUCUGGGAAACUGCCUGAUGGAGGGGGAUAACUACUGGAAACGGUAGCUAAUACAGCAUACCAUCGGAUGUGCCCAGAUGGGAUUAGCUAGUAGGUGGGGUAACGGCUCACCUAGGCAACGAGCCCUAGCUGAUCUGAGAGGAUGACCAGCCAAAUUGGAACUGAGACACGGCCCAGACUCCUACGGGAGGCAGCAGUGGGGAAUAUUGCGCAAUGGGCGCAAGCCUGAUGCAGCCAUGCCGCGUGAAUGAAGAAGGUCUUCGGGUUGUAAAGGACUUUCAGCGGGGAAGCGGUAUCCGAAGAGGAAGCACCGGCUAACUCCGUGCCAGCCGCCGCGGUAAUAC
Molecule: ribosomal RNA, 406 nt
Filed under: uncultured bacterium
Lineage: Bacteria
Description: partial 16S ribosomal RNA
Rfam family: Bacterial small subunit ribosomal RNA
Source: RNAcentral